CUAAAUCAACUAAUGUUUCUUGAUAAAACGAUAAAUAAAUCUGAUUAUUCUUUAAGUGAAUAUUCAUAUGAUGCAUUGAAAUGAAAAAUAUAUGAUUCAUCUAUUUAAUUUGGGAGUUGUUUAAUUUUUUUGCAUAUUUUAUGCCCCUUUCCAAUUGGGGGAGAUUACAGGUGUGGAUGCAACCAGUUCCAACCACAGGCUGCAUCCACACCUGUGGAGGUGGGCUGGAUGUGAUGGACAAGGAUGGCCAGGGCCAGCAUCCCAAAAAAACUUUUCAGGAGUUACCAGACCCAGUACACGAAUUCAGGUCCUCCUGCAUGGCACGCCAACAGCAUUACCACUCAGCCAUCCAUCCUAAUUUUGGAGAUUAAGAACAG
This 377-nucleotide long non-coding RNA is filed under the name Androctonus crassicauda. Lineage: Eukaryota; Metazoa; Arthropoda; Arachnida; Scorpiones; Buthidae. The record is from RNAcentral.